Molecule: ribosomal RNA, 360 nt
Filed under: Phantasca quadrilobata
Lineage: Eukaryota; Metazoa; Arthropoda; Insecta; Phasmatodea; Diapheromeridae
Description: partial 12S ribosomal RNA
Source: RNAcentral
UUAUACAAUUAAUAUUAUUAAUAUUUUUAGUUUAUAAGGUAAUUUAUUAUAUGAAUUUAAUAUAUUUAUUUUUAGGUGAAAUUUAUAUUUUAAUUAAUUUUAUUAAUAUAUUUCUUAUAAAAUCAAAAUUUAAACUAGGAUUAGAUACCCUAUUAUUUUGUUAGUAAGAACUUAGGGUAGUAUUAGUUAAGUUCUUAAAACCUAAAGAAUUUGGCGGUGCUUUAGUCUAUUUAGAGGAAUUUGUCUUUUAAUCGAUAACCCUCGUUAUAUCUUACUUUAUUUUGUUAUCAGUAUGUAUAUCUCCGUUAUAAGUUUAUUUUUUUAGAUUAAUUUACUUAAAGAUUUAUUUAUAUUUAUUUC